This 466-nucleotide ribosomal RNA is filed under the name uncultured bacterium. Its description in RNAcentral is "partial 16S ribosomal RNA". It matches the Rfam family "Bacterial small subunit ribosomal RNA", at positions 28 to 507 of the family's 1533-position model. The record is from RNAcentral.
GAUGAACGCUGGCGGCGUGCUUAACACAUGCAAGUCGAACGAUGAAGCUCAGCUUGCUGGGUGGAUUAGUGGCGAACGGGUGAGUAACACGUGAGUAACCUGCCCUUAACUCUGGGAUAAGCCUGGGAAACCGGGUCUAAUACCGGAUAGGAGCGUCCACCGCAUGGUGGGUGUUGGAAAGAUUUAUCGGUUUUGGAUGGACUCGCGGCCUAUCAGCUUGUUGGUGAGGUAAUGGCUCACCAAGGCGACGACGGGUAGCCGGCCUGAGAGGGUGACCGGCCACACUGGGACUGAGACACGGCCCAGACUCCUACGGGAGGCAGCAGUGGGGAAUAUUGCACAAUGGGCGCAAGCCUGAUGCAGCGACGCCGCGUGAGGGAUGACGGCCUUCGGGUUGUAAACCUCUUUCAGUAGGGAAGAAGCGAAAGUGACGGUACCUGCAGAAGAAGCACCGGCUAACUACGUG